This 497-nucleotide ribosomal RNA is filed under the name uncultured bacterium. RNAcentral's name for it is "partial 16S ribosomal RNA". It matches the Rfam family "Bacterial small subunit ribosomal RNA", at positions 28 to 507 of the family's 1533-position model. The record is from RNAcentral.
GAUGAACGCUGGCGGCGUGCCUAAUACAUGCAAGUCGAGCGAACAGACGAGGAGCUUGCUCCUCUGACGUUAGCGGCGGACGGGUGAGUAACACGUGGAUAACCUACCUAUAAGACUGGGAUAACUUCGGGAAACCGGAGCUAAUACCGGAUAACAUGUUGAACCGCAUGGUUCAACAGUGAAAGACGGUCUUGCUGUCGCUUAUAGAUGGAUCCGCGCCGCAUUAGCUAGUUGGUAAGGUAACGGCUUACCAAGGCAACGAUGCGUAGCCGACCUGAGAGGAUGAUCGGGCACACGAGAAAUGAGACACGGUCCGGACUCCGACGGGAGGCAGCGGUGGGGACGAGUGGGCAAUGGGCGAUAGCGUGAUCGAGCAAUACCGCGUGUGUGAUGAAGGCAUUCGGGUUGUAAAUCCCUGUUGUUGGGAAAGAAACGCAGCAGGUUAAGCCCCCUCAGUGCUGACGGGACCCAAAGAAUAAGCAACGGCUAACUUCGUG